Molecule: unclassified non-coding RNA, 326 nt
Organism: Erinaceus europaeus (western European hedgehog)
Lineage: Eukaryota; Metazoa; Chordata; Mammalia; Eulipotyphla; Erinaceidae
Gene: 7SK
Rfam family: 7SK RNA
About the family: 7SK was discovered as an abundant small nuclear RNA in the mid-70s but a possible function has only recently been suggested.
Source: Ensembl
GGGUGUGAGGGUGAUCUGGCUGCGACAUGCAUCACCCCAUUGAUCGCCAGGGUUGAUUCAGCUGAUCUGGCUGGCUAGGCUGGUGAUGACCCCUUCCUCCCUCACUGCUCCAUGUGCGUCCCUACUCUAAGCUGAGUGCUCUGUCAAAGAGGACGGCCUUCCCUGAAUAGAGACGGACCGGUCUUCCGUUGAGGGUAUAUGAGUAGCUGUGCUCCCUGCUAGAACCUCCAAACAAGCUCUAAUUAACAUAAAAUAAAUAAAAUUUAAAAUAAUGACGACUCCCUGUCUCAGUAAGAGGGAUAAUUUAGCCAGCUAUUAAUGUUAUU